Molecule: unclassified non-coding RNA, 227 nt
Filed under: uncultured fungus
Lineage: Eukaryota; Fungi
Description: sequence contains ITS1, 5.8S rRNA gene
Rfam family: 5.8S ribosomal RNA (bases 179-227)
Source: RNAcentral
UCUCCGUAGGUGAACCUGCGGAGGGAUCAUUACUGAGUGAGGGCUCCGGCCCGACCUCCAACCCCAUGUGAACCGAAACCUGUUGCUUCGGGGGCGACCCUGCCGUCCGCGGCUGAGCGCCCCCGGGGUCAAUCAAACACUGCAUUCUCUGCGUCGGAGUAUUAGUAAAUCUAAUCAAAACUUUCAACAACGGAUCUCUUGGUUCUGGCAUCGAUGAAGAACGCAGC